This 482-nucleotide long non-coding RNA is filed under the name Homo sapiens (human). RNAcentral's name for it is "LHRI_LNC866.1". The record is from RNAcentral. Lineage: Eukaryota; Metazoa; Chordata; Mammalia; Primates; Hominidae.
GUUCUAGAUAAGUUUUUGGGAGGUGGCAAGCUCUGAUUGGUGUGUGACAGUGAUAGGUAAAACCAGUCUUAGAGUCACAGCAGGUCAUUUCAGCAGCUACUAGGUAAAACUGGUCUUAGGGUUUACAGUAGUCUGUUUAAGUAGCUGGGCUUGUGGAAAACUGAGUUCUUGGAGCAGCUGCUAUGUCCUUCAUGUACUUUUUCCCCUUAAUGCAUUGAAUCUGAUUUGGUUGGGUAUGACAAUAAUUACCCAAUUUGUAUAAUUAACUUUCACACUCCCAACCCUUAUCCCCCUAGUUGAGAUCUCCAGAUGCAGUUUACUCUCCCUGUUUUUCCUAUAACAUGGAAAGUUUUGGGUUUGGAAUCUGGAAAUUACCAUUUUUUUCAGAAACACUCAGUUACAUUGUCCAAAUCAAGAAAUGAGGAGUGUGGCAUUACAGUACUCCCUAAGUUUUCCAUUUUAAUACUUUGCUAGAAGAUAAG